AUGAGCAGCGGCCGCCUUCUGGAUCCAGCAGCUUUGAGAAUCAAUUACUGCAGUUACCUACUAGGAAGGGUCGUCGUCGCGGCAGCGGGUGAUGGACUCGCAGCCGCGGGAGUAGGGGUUGGCGGUGGUGCUGACGCGGCAGUUGUAGUAGGGCACGCCGGGCCGGGAGCAGGGCACGGCGUCCCCCCGCAGCGCGUCGUAGCUGAUGUACCUCCGCCCGCCGCCGGUCGCCCACAGCAGCCGCCCGUGCGCCGCCGCGCCCGAGCCCAUCUGCGCUGCCUCCACCCCCAUGUCCAUGUCCAUGUCCAGGGUGGCCAUGGUGAUGGCGCCGUGGCCUCCUCUCCCCUGCACGAGGAGCAGCAGCAGGAGGAGGGGCAGCACGGGGGUGGCCGCCCAUGGAGGCAUUGCCGGAGGGGGAUGGGGAUGGGGGAGCUGAGAUCUCGGAGAGCGGAACAGUUGCUGUGGCUGGAUCUUUUCUCCCUGGAUGAGAUGAAAGAGUGGGGGAGAGUGGGGAGUGGAGUGGUGGAGGUGGCCUUAAAUGCAGUGCCACUGCCGACAGUUGUCCGUUGUGUCCCGUGGCCGUGGGGAACGGACCCGUGGGGUUUACAGUUUCCCUUCCUUGUCUUUUUACAGCUGGUUUCUCCUCGGGAACUGAAUCGUUCGACAGUACGCCCAUUUGGAAACGGAACACAUUAUCCACACACUUUUAUUACGGCCAUGAACUGA
This 726-nucleotide ribosomal RNA is filed under the name Triticum aestivum (bread wheat). RNAcentral describes it as "partial small subunit ribosomal RNA". The record is from RNAcentral. Lineage: Eukaryota; Viridiplantae; Streptophyta; Magnoliopsida; Poales; Poaceae.